RNAcentral lists this ribosomal RNA (259 nucleotides) under uncultured prokaryote. RNAcentral describes it as "partial 16S ribosomal RNA". It matches the Rfam family "Bacterial small subunit ribosomal RNA", at positions 524 to 782 of the family's 1533-position model. The record is from RNAcentral.
UACAGAGGUCUCGAGCGUUGUUCGGAUUUACUGGGCGUAAAGGGAGCGUAGGCGGUUCAGUAUGUCGAAUGUGAAAUCCCACGACUCAACCGUGGAAUGGCAUUCGAAACUGCUGGGCUAGAGUACUGGAGAGGAGAGCGGAAUUCUUGGUGUAGCGGUGAAAUGCGUAGAUAUCAAGAGGAACACCGGUGGCGAAGGCGGCUCACAAAGCCAAGAUUGACGCUGAGGCACGAAAGUGUGGGGAUCAAACAGGAUUAGA